UACGUAGGGUGCAAGCGUUAAUCGGAAUUACUGGGCGUAAAGCGUGCGCAGGCGGUUAUAUAAGACAGUUGUGAAAUCCCCGGGCUCAACCUGGGAACUGCAUCUGUGACUGUAUAGCUAGAGUACGGUAGAGGGGGAUGGAAUUCCGCGUGUAGCAGUGAAAUGCGUAGAUAUGCGGAGGAACACCGAUGGCGAAGGCAAUCCCCUGGACUCGUGUACUGACGCUCAUGCACGAAAGCGUGGGGAGCAAACGAGG
Molecule: ribosomal RNA, 256 nt
Filed under: uncultured bacterium
Lineage: Bacteria
Description: partial 16S ribosomal RNA
Rfam family: Bacterial small subunit ribosomal RNA
Source: RNAcentral